AUUUAAUUGAAAUAUGAACCAGUGAUUUUUUUGAUUGCUGAUUCCAAGAGAGUCUUUGUGGAAAUCCUGUUUGGCUUUUUGUUAUUUUAAUUCUCUUCUCUGUUUUCCAGAACAGUUCUCCACAGUCGCUGUCCACAUGGGUCAGUGGGACCAAGAAGCACUCUGCUAAUGUGUGGACUCUGACCAGCAACAUCCAGCAAGACCCAGACAGCGUUUUCUAUCUCCCAGCUGGAGUUUUUGUUUGUCUGUGACUGGAGAGUCAGAUUUUUGUUGAGCUUCACACUUGCAGAGGUUAAUACACUCUACUGAUCCCUGAUGGGAGAAUCAUCAAUUUUGGCAACAAAGAAGCCUGGUGGAUGUUUGUUUACAGUCUGAUGAUGGGACAUCAUGCUCUGCAUCUUCAAAGUUUGCCUCCUCAUUAUUAUUCAUACCCAGUAAUGUGAAGUAUGCUCAUAUCUACUAUAACUGAACCAACCUGGUGCUCUUCAUUUAUGGAGGCUGUUGAGUCUGAAUGUUGGAUGUUGUGUAUCUCGUGUUCUCUGGGCUUUGUUGUCCUCAGUCUUUUCACAGGAUCAGAAAACAAAACCAGGAGGCGCGUACAUGUUUCUUCUCCAUGAUGUUUCUUCAAAUGUUUCUUCUGGAUGAUGAUAAGACUGACACGGGAUGCCACCUUUGGUCUUGUGAUGAAGCAAAGCUCAGGAAGAAGUGGGAUUAAAUGGUACCCACAUGUGUGCUGCUGAGAAGGAUGUACAGGGGCACCUGCAGCCAAAUCCAAGCCUCAGAGCAGCAGUUUGUGCUCACAGAUGGUGACGGUGUGGAGAGACGGUGGUGUUUCCUCAGAAGAACCAGCAGAGUCACAAAGGACACCAGUCCAUCUCACCACCUUGACUUGCUGACUGAUGCUCGUCUGCACUGCACAGAGGAAAUCAGCUGACCGAGGAGUGUUUCUGAGUGAGGGGGGAGGAGUCAUCAUCCAGGUAAAGUGACGUAGAUCCGUGGACACACUUGUCUCCCCUUUAAAGGAGACGAUCCAAGUCAUCCUUAAAUAUGGGCAGCAUAUCAGUCUUGGACUGUCUAACCUGCAGCACUGAAUGACCACCACACAUGAGCAUGUUCCUGCAACAUUCAGCAUCUGAUCCUUCAUCUGUGUGCUUCUGCUUUUGUGUCACAUGUCAAACAGCUGGAGAGGAAACUACACCAGUGUACUGGGAUGUUUCAGCAACACGUGCCAGAUGCUGUUCCUUCAUGGUGACAUCACCAGAGACAGUCCCGCCCACCUCAGGACCUCGCCAUUGAUCAUGAUGAUUAUAAUGAUGACAGCGAGCGGAACUAAGACUGUAAAAAUCCACGACCAGAAUGUUUCUUUCUAAUUAUUAAUGAAUACUGAGAGCCUCUUUCUCUGUUUUGUCUGUUUUGGGGUUGUUUUUUUUACCUCAUUUGUUUCUAACAAAGUUCACAAACUCACACAGUUUACAUUCUGUAUGUUUCCAUCUUUACCAGCCACACUCUAACUGCAUUUAAGAAAAUAAUCCUUAGAAAUCGUCGUUUUUCUCUUUUGUAAUUGAUGAUAAUUCAGUGAAUAUACUGCGCUGCUUCCUUUUAUUGCGUCACACAUUGCUUUAAGUUUUUCAGUGUCCAGUUAUUUUUUACUGCUGUUUGAAUUCUCUGAAUGUUUGACCCUGUAGACUGUUUGAUGGACUGCUUGUCUUCCUGUUUGUUACCGCCGCCUGUUUUUUAAUAAAGAUUUGGAUUUCUGACUUCAAC
Long non-coding RNA from Astatotilapia calliptera (eastern happy), 1764 nucleotides. Lineage: Eukaryota; Metazoa; Chordata; Actinopteri; Cichliformes; Cichlidae. The record is from Ensembl.